GACGAACGCUGGCGGCGUGCCUAAUACAUGCAAGUCGAGCGCAGGAAAUCGACGGAACCCUUCGGGGGGAAGUCGAUGGAAUGAGCGGCGGACGGGUGAGUAACACGUAAAGAACCUGCCCUCAGGUCUGGGAUAACCACGAGAAAUCGGGGCUAACACCGGAUGGGUCAUCGGACCGCAUGGUCCGAGGAUGAAAGGCGCUUCGGCGUCGCCUGGGGAUGGCUUUGCGGUGCAUUAGCUAGUUGGUGGGGUAAUGGCCCACCAAGGCGACGAUGCAUAGCCGACCGGAGAGGGUGAUCGGCCACACUGGGACUGAGACACGGCCCAGACGCCUACGGGAGGCAGCAGUAGGGAAUCUUCCACAAUGGACGAAAGUCUGAUGGAGCAACGCCGCGUGAACGAUGAAGGCCUUCGGGUCGUAAAGUUCUGUUGUAAGGGAAGAACAAGUGCCGCAGGCAAUGGCGGCACCUUGACGGUACCUUGCGAGAAAGCCACGGCUAACUACGUGCCAGCCGCCGCAGUAA
This 524-nucleotide ribosomal RNA is filed under the name uncultured bacterium. RNAcentral describes it as "partial 16S ribosomal RNA". It matches the Rfam family "Bacterial small subunit ribosomal RNA", at positions 28 to 523 of the family's 1533-position model. The record is from RNAcentral.